RNAcentral lists this ribosomal RNA (368 nucleotides) under uncultured organism. RNAcentral describes it as "bacterial SSU rRNA". It matches the Rfam family "Bacterial small subunit ribosomal RNA", at positions 526 to 896 of the family's 1533-position model. The record is from RNAcentral.
CGGAGGGUGCAAGCGUUAUCCGGAAUCAUUGGGUUUAAAGGGUCCGCAGGCGGAAGUAUAAGUCAGUGGUGAAAGCCUACAGCUCAACUGUAGAACUGCCAUUGAUACUGUACUUCUUGAAUUUGGUCGAAGUGGGCGGAAUAUGACAUGUAGCGGUGAAAUGCUUAGAUAUGUCAUAGAACACCGAUAGCGAAGGCAGCUCACUAGUCCAGUAUUGACGCUCAUGGACGAAAGCGUGGGGAGCAAACAGGAUUAGAUACCCUGGUAGUCCACGCCGUAAACUAUCAAUACUCGUUUUCAGCGAUAUACUGUUGGAGACUAAGCGAAAGUGAUAAGUAUUGCACCUGGGGAGUACGAUCGCAAGGUUG